AUUGAACGCUGGCGGCGUGCCUUACACAUGCAAGUCGAACGGCAGCAUGAUGUGUAUAUACGCAAGUAUGUAUAUAUUGAUGGCGAGUGGCGAACGGGUGAGUAAUACAUCGGGACAUGCCUAUUAGAGGGGGAUAACUAGUUGAAAGAUUAGCUAAUACCGCAUAAUCUCUGAGGAGGAAAGCUUGGGAUUUAGAGAUAGACCAGGCGCAGAUAGAUGAGCCGACGUCGGAUUAGCUAGUUGGCGGGGUAAAGGCCCACCAAGGCGACGAUCCGUAGCUGGUCUGAGAGGAUGAUCAGCCACACUGGAACUGAGACACGGUCCAGACUCCUACGGGAGGCAGCAGUGGGGAAUAUUGGACAAUGGGCGCAAGCCUGAUCCAGCCAUGCCGCGUGGGUGAAGAAGGCCUUCGGGUUGUAAAGCCCUUUUGUUGGGAAAGAAAAGCAGCCGGUUAAUACCCGGUUGUUCUGACGGUACCCAAAGAAUAAGCACCGGCUAACUUCGUGCCAGCAGCCGCCGUAA
RNAcentral lists this ribosomal RNA (522 nucleotides) under uncultured bacterium. RNAcentral's name for it is "partial 16S ribosomal RNA". It matches the Rfam family "Bacterial small subunit ribosomal RNA", at positions 30 to 523 of the family's 1533-position model. The record is from RNAcentral.